RNAcentral lists this ribosomal RNA (497 nucleotides) under uncultured bacterium. RNAcentral's name for it is "partial 16S ribosomal RNA". It matches the Rfam family "Bacterial small subunit ribosomal RNA", at positions 28 to 507 of the family's 1533-position model. The record is from RNAcentral.
GAUGAAUGCUGGCGGCGUGCCUAAUACAUGCAAGUCGAGCGAACAGACGAGGAGCUUGCUCCUCUGACGUUAGCGGCGGACGGGUGAGUAACACGUGGAUAACCUACCUAUAAGACUGGGAUAACUUCGGGAAACCGGAGCUAAUACCGGAUAAUAUAUUGAACCGCAUGGUUCAAUAGUGAAAGACGGUUUUGCUGUCACUUAUAGAUGGAUCCGCGCCGCAUUAGCUAGUUGGUAAGGUAACGGCUUACCAAGGCAACGAUGCGUAGCCGACCUGAGAGGGUGAUCGGCCACACUGGAACUGAGACACGGUCCAGACUCCUACGGGAGGCAGCAGUAGGGAAUCUUCCGCAAUGGGCGAAAGCCUGACGGAGCAACGCCGCGUGAGUGAUGAAGGUCUUCGGAUCGUAAAACUCUGUUAUUAGGGAAGAACAAAUGUGUAAGUAACUAUGCACGUCUUGACGGUACCUAAUCAGAAAGCCACGGCUAACCACGUG